AACUUUCUACUUCACAAUCAUUGGUUAUAUUUUUUAAUGUGAAGGAUGAGGGUAUCUUAUCUAAAAAAGUUGGAUAACAUCUUCAUAGAUAGUUCUAAAAUCUUUGCCACCAAUUCUAUGAAUUUCGUUUUCAUCCAUGCCACCAAUAAUUCCUUCAUAAAGUAUGUUACAUUUAUAACUUAUAAGUAUGGGAAACACUUCUUAUAAGGUCAUACAUCUUGCCUCAAAUAUAAUAACUUCAUCACUUGGCAUUGAUUGAUUCUU
RNAcentral lists this long non-coding RNA (264 nucleotides) under Lathyrus oleraceus (garden pea). RNAcentral describes it as "Pisum sativum (pea) long non-coding RNA (PSAT_LNC019679)". The record is from RNAcentral. Lineage: Eukaryota; Viridiplantae; Streptophyta; Magnoliopsida; Fabales; Fabaceae.